GGGUUUUCCCACUUUGGGGCCCACAUCUCCCACCCGUGUCUACAAAUACCGCGUUGCUUUGGUGGAUCCACUUAGGGAGUUUUCCCUCCCUGGUGGAGCCGCCGGAGAUCCUCCCGAACUCUGGAUGAAAAGGUUGCAGUCUGAGUGAUCAAUAAUAAUCGUUAAAAACUUUCAACAACGGAUCUCUUGGUUCCGGCAUCGAUGAAGAACGCAGCGAAAUGCGAUAAGUAAUGUGAAUUGCAGAAUUCCGUGAAUCAUCGAAUCUUUGAACGCACAUUGCGCCCUCUGGCAUUCCGGGGGGCAUGCCUGUCCGAGCGUCAUUUCUACCCUCAAGCCCGGCUUGUGUGUUGGGUGCUGUCCCCUAGGGGGACAUGCCCGAAAGACAGCGGCGGCACUGUCCGGUCCUCGAGUGUAUGGGGCUCUGUCACCCACUUGGAGGGACUGGCCGGCGCCUGUCCACCCCAACCAUCUCUUUUAGGUUGACCUC
RNAcentral lists this unclassified non-coding RNA (487 nucleotides) under Trichocoma paradoxa. RNAcentral's name for it is "partial contains ITS 1, 5.8S rDNA and ITS 2". The stretch from base 167 to 320 matches the Rfam family "5.8S ribosomal RNA". Lineage: Eukaryota; Fungi; Ascomycota; Eurotiomycetes; Eurotiales; Trichocomaceae. The record is from RNAcentral.